AAACCAGCUCUUCAAGUGGUCGGGAUGAUUAUUGGGCUUAAAGUGUCCGUAGCCGGUUUAGUAAGUUCCUGGUAAAAUCGGAUAGCUUAACUAUUUGUAUGCUAGGAAUACUACUAUGCUAGAGGGCGGGAGAGGUCUGAGGUACUACAGGGGUAGGGGUGAAAUCUUAUAAUCCUUGUAGGACCACCAGUGGCGAAGGCGUCAGACUGGAACGCGCCUGACGGUGAGGGACGAAAGCCAGGGGAGCGAACCGGAUUAGAUACCCGGGUAGUCCUGGCCGUAAACGAUGCACACUAGGUGAUGGCACGGCCAUGAGCCGUGUCAGUGCCGUAGGGAAACCGUUAAGUGUGCCGCCUGGGAAGUACGGUCGCAAGGCUGAAACUUAAAUGAAUUGGCGGGG
RNAcentral lists this ribosomal RNA (400 nucleotides) under uncultured bacterium. Its description in RNAcentral is "partial 16S ribosomal RNA". It matches the Rfam family "Archaeal small subunit ribosomal RNA", at positions 473 to 873 of the family's 1478-position model. The record is from RNAcentral.